This 460-nucleotide ribosomal RNA is filed under the name uncultured bacterium. RNAcentral describes it as "partial 16S ribosomal RNA". It matches the Rfam family "Bacterial small subunit ribosomal RNA", at positions 338 to 795 of the family's 1533-position model. The record is from RNAcentral.
CCUACGGGGGGCAGCAGUGAGGAAUAUUGGUCAAUGGGCGUGAGCCUGAACCAGCCAAGUAGCGUGAAGGAUGACUGCCCUAUGGGUUGUAAACUUCUUUUAUAAAGGAAUAAAGUGAGGCACGUGUGCCUUUCUGUAUGUACUUUAUGAAUAAGGAUCGGCUAACUCCGUGCCAGCAGCCGCGGUAAUACGGAGGAUCCGAGCGUUAUCCGGAUUUAUUGGGUUUAAAGGGGGCGUAGAUGGAUUGUUAAGUUAGUUGUGAAAGUUUGCGGCUCAACCGUAGAACUGCAUUUGAUACUGGCGGUCUUGAGUACAGGUGAGGUAGGCGGAAUGCGUGGUGUAGCGGUGAAAUGCUUAGAUAUCACGAAGAACUCCGAUUGCGAAGGCAGCUUACUAAACUGCAACUGACAUUGAUGCUCGAAAGUGUGGGUAUCAAACAGGAUUAGAUACCCUGGUAGUC